AAGACCUUGCGCUUUUGGAGCGGCCGAUGUCUGAUUAGCUUGUUGGUGAGGUAAAAGCUUACCAAGGCUUCGAUCAGUAGCUGGUCUGAGAGGACGGCCAGCCACACUGGGACUGAGACACGGCCCAGACUCCUACGGGAGGCAGCAGUGGGGAAUUUUGGACAAUGGGGGCAACCCUGAUCCAGCCAUGCCGCGUGAGUGAAGAAGGCCUUCGGGUUGUAAAGCUCUUUCAGCCGGAACGAAACGGUUACGGUUAAUACCCGUGAUUACUGACGGUACCGGAAGAAGAAGCACCGGCUAACUACGUGCCAGCAGCCGCGGUAAUACGUAGGGUGCGAGCGUUAAUCGGAAUUACUGGGCGUAAAGCGUGCGCAGGUGGUUUUGUAAGUCAGAUGUGAAAGCCCCGGGCUCAACCUGGAACU
RNAcentral lists this ribosomal RNA (422 nucleotides) under uncultured bacterium. Its description in RNAcentral is "bacterial SSU rRNA". It matches the Rfam family "Bacterial small subunit ribosomal RNA", at positions 207 to 621 of the family's 1533-position model. The record is from RNAcentral.